Molecule: transfer RNA, 87 nt
Filed under: Candidatus Falkowiibacteriota bacterium
Lineage: Bacteria; Candidatus Falkowiibacteriota
Description: tRNA-Ser
Rfam family: tRNA
About the family: Transfer RNA (tRNA) molecules are approximately 80 nucleotides in length. Their secondary structure includes four short double-helical elements and three loops (D, anti-codon, and T loops).
Source: RNAcentral
GGAGGAGUGGCCGAGCGGUUGAAGGCGCGGGUCUCGAAAACCCGUAUACUGGAAACAGUAUCGUGAGUUCGAAUCUCACCUCCUCCG